GGACUACCGGGGUAUCUAAUCCCGUUUGCUCCCCUGGCUUUCGCGCCUCAGCGUCAGAAGAAAUCCAGUGCGCCGCUUUCGCCUCCGGCGUUCCUUCCAAUAUCAACGCAUUUCACCGCUCCACUGGAAGUUCCGCACACCCCUAUUUCCCUCGAGACCAUCAGUAUCAGAGGCACUUCUACAGUUAAGCUGCAGGAUUUCACCCCUGACUUGAUGGACCGCCUACGCGCCCUUUAAGCCCAGUGAUUCCGAACAACGUUAGGACAGUUCGUCUUACCGCGGCUGCUGGCAC
RNAcentral lists this ribosomal RNA (292 nucleotides) under uncultured Planctomycetota bacterium. RNAcentral's name for it is "uncultured planctomycete partial 16S ribosomal RNA". The record is from RNAcentral. Lineage: Bacteria; Pseudomonadati; Planctomycetota.